GUAAGGACUCAUCCUUCAGCUAAUGCAUUGUUUAGAAACUUAGUAAGCGAAUAAAAGCGCGUGGCCACGAGGACACAAGAAUAUCUAAGCGCUGCAGAAACAGCCACAUAAUUUGCUCCUUGAUUUAUUGCAUCUUUGGCAGGCAAUGCUCUGAGCUUUCAUGCAUAUAUGGGCAAUUGGGGCAUCUGUGAUGAAGUGCUGUUGACAGAAGUAUGGCCCGUGGUAACAUGAUUGCUAUAAUAAGGAACCAUGGCCAAGCACAGUGGCUCACACCUGUAAUCCCAGAACUUUGGGAGGCUGAGGCAAGUGGAUCACUUGAGCUCAGGAGUUGGAGACCAGCCUGGCUAACAAGAUGUCCAAACAAGAAAGAUAAAGAAAGGUUGAAGAAUUGUUUCACAAUAAAAGACUCAACAUGAAAACUAAAUGCAGUAUAUGAGUCUAGAUUGGAUUCUGGACAUGGGAGAAAUAACUAAAAAGGACAUUACCAGAACAACUGACAAAUUUAAAUAUAAACUGCAGAUUUGGCAA
RNAcentral lists this long non-coding RNA (528 nucleotides) under Homo sapiens (human). RNAcentral describes it as "HSALNT0310728". Lineage: Eukaryota; Metazoa; Chordata; Mammalia; Primates; Hominidae. The record is from RNAcentral.